CCUACGGGUGGCAGCAGUGAGGAAUUUUGGUCAAUGGGCGCGAGCCUGAACCAGCCAAGUCGCGUGAAGGAUGACUGCCCUAUGGGUGGUAAACUCCUUUUAUAAAGGCAUAAAGUGAGGCACGUGUGCCUUUCUGUAUGUACUUUACGAUUAAGGAUCGGCUAACUCCGUUCCAGCAGCCGCGGUAAUACGGUGGGUCCGAGCGUUAUCCGGAUUUAUUGGGUGUAAAGGGGGUGUAGGUGGGUUGGUAAGUCAGAUGUGAAAGUCUGCGGCUCAACCGUAAAAUUGCAAUUGAUACUGGCAGGCUAGAGUACAGUAGAGGUAGGCGGAAUUCGUGGUGUAGCAGUGAAAUGCGUAGAUAUCACGAAGAACUCCGAUUGCGAAGGCAGCCUACUGAACUGCAACUGACAUUGAUGCUCGAAAGUGUGGGUAUCAAACAGGAUUAGAUACCCCGGUAGUC
Molecule: ribosomal RNA, 460 nt
Filed under: uncultured bacterium
Lineage: Bacteria
Description: partial 16S ribosomal RNA
Rfam family: Bacterial small subunit ribosomal RNA
Source: RNAcentral